AUUGAACGCUGGCGGCAUGCUUUACACAUGCAAGUCGAACGGCAGCGGGGGCUUCGGCCCGCCGGCGAGUGGCGAACGGGUGAGUAAUGCAUCGGAACGUGCCCAGUCGUGGGGGAUAACACAUCGAAAGAUGUGCUAAUACCGCAUACGUCCUGAGGGAGAAAGCGGGGGAUCUUCGGACCUCGCGCGAUUGGAGCGGCCGAUGUCGGAUUAGCUAGUUGGUGGGGUAAAAGCCCACCAAGGCGACGAUCCGUACGGGUCUGAGAGGAUGAUCCGCCACACUGGGACUGAGACACGGCCCAGACUCCUACGGGAGGCAGCAGUGGGGAAUUUUGGACAAUGGGGGCAACCCUGAUCCAGCCAUGCCGCGUGAGUGAAGAAGG
RNAcentral lists this ribosomal RNA (383 nucleotides) under uncultured bacterium. RNAcentral describes it as "bacterial SSU rRNA". It matches the Rfam family "Bacterial small subunit ribosomal RNA", at positions 29 to 414 of the family's 1533-position model. The record is from RNAcentral.